GACGAACGCUGGCGGCGUGCUUAACACAUGCAAGUCGAACGGAAAGGCCCUGCUUUUGUGGGGUGCUCGAGUGGCGAACGGGUGAGUAACACGUGAGUAACCUGCCCUUGACUUUGGGAUAACUUCAGGAAACUGGGGCUAAUACCGGAUAGGAGCUCCUGCUGCAUGGUGGGGGUUGGAAAGUUUCGGCGGUUGGGGAUGGACUCGCGGCUUAUCAGCUUGUUGGUGGGGUAGUGGCUUACCAAGACUUUGACGGGUAGCCGGCCUGAGAGGGUGACCGGCCACAUUGGGACUGAGAUACGGCGCAGACUCCUACGGGAGGCAGCAGUGGGGAAUAUUGCACAAUGGGCGGAAGCCUGAUGCAGCAACGCCGCGUGCGGGAUGACGGCCUUCGGGUUGUAAACCGCUUUCGCCUGUGACGAAGCGUGAGUGACGGUAAUGGGUAAAGAAGCACCGGCUAACUACGUG
RNAcentral lists this ribosomal RNA (468 nucleotides) under uncultured bacterium. RNAcentral's name for it is "partial 16S ribosomal RNA". It matches the Rfam family "Bacterial small subunit ribosomal RNA", at positions 28 to 507 of the family's 1533-position model. The record is from RNAcentral.